RNAcentral lists this ribosomal RNA (253 nucleotides) under uncultured bacterium. Its description in RNAcentral is "partial 16S ribosomal RNA". It matches the Rfam family "Bacterial small subunit ribosomal RNA", at positions 524 to 776 of the family's 1533-position model. The record is from RNAcentral.
UACGUAGGGCGCGAGCGUUGUCCGGAAUUAUUGGGCGUAAAGAGCUCGUAGGCGGCUUGUCGCGUCUGCUGUGAAAACGCGGGGCUUAACUCCGCGCUUGCAGUGGGUACGGGCAGGCUUGAGUGUAGUAGGGGAGACUGGAAUUCCUGGUGUAGCGGUGGAAUGCGCAGAUAUCAGGAGGAACACCGAUGGCGAAGGCAGGUCUCUGGGCUGUAACUGACGCUGAGAAGCGAAAGCAUGGGGAGCGAACAGG